Molecule: non-coding RNA, 98 nt
Organism: Acanthosepion pharaonis
Lineage: Eukaryota; Metazoa; Mollusca; Cephalopoda; Sepiida; Sepiidae
Source: the annotation of a GenBank genome assembly
UUGAAACACUGGUUCCCUUACGAUCACUGAAGUUAAGCAUCUUCAAUCCUGAUCAGUAGCUAGAUGGGUGACUGUUUAGGAAUAUCAAGUGCUGUAAG